Molecule: ribosomal RNA, 260 nt
Filed under: uncultured bacterium
Lineage: Bacteria
Description: partial 16S ribosomal RNA
Rfam family: Bacterial small subunit ribosomal RNA
Source: RNAcentral
CCACGCCGUAAACGAUGAAUACUAGGUGUAGGAGGUAUCGACUCCUUCUGUGCCGCAGUUAACGCAUUAAGUAUUCCACCUGGGGAGUACGGCCGCAAGGUUAAAACUCAAAGGAAUUGACGGGGGCCCGCACAAGCAGUGGAGUAUGUGGUUUAAUUCGAGGCAACGCGAAGAACCUUACCAGGGCUUGACAUGACAGUGACGGGUUAAGAGAUUAACCGUUCCCUUCGGGGACACUGCCACAGGUGGUGCAUGGUUGU